UGGGGAAUAUUGCACAAUGGGCGAAAGCCUGAUGCAGCAACGCCGCGUGAGGGACGACGGCCUUCGGGUUGUAAACCUCUUUUAGCAAGGAAGAAGCGAAAGUGACGGUACUUGCAGAAAAAGCGCCGGCUAACUACGUGCCAGCAGCCGCGGUAAUACGUAGGGCGCAAGCGUUAUCCGGAAUUAUUGGGCGUAAAGAGCUCGUAGGCGGUUUGUCGCGUCUGCUGUGAAAACCCGAGGCUCAACCUCGGGCCUGCAGUGGGUACGGGCAGACUAGAGUGCGGUAGGGGAGAUUGGAACUCCUGGUGUAGCGGUGGAAUGCGCAGAUAUCAGGAAGAACACCGAUGGCGAAGGCAGAUCUCUGGGCCGUAACUGACGCUGAGGAGCGAAAGGGUGGGGAGCAAAACAGGCUUAGAUACCCUGGUAGUCCACCCCGUAAACGUUGGGAACUAGUUGUGGGGUCCAUUCCACGGAUUCCGUGACGCAGCUAACGCAUUAAGUUCCCCGCCUGGGGAGUACGGCCGCAAGGCUAAAACUUGAAAUGAAUUGACGGGGUCAUAGCUGUUUCCU
This 570-nucleotide ribosomal RNA is filed under the name uncultured bacterium. RNAcentral describes it as "partial 16S ribosomal RNA". It matches the Rfam family "Bacterial small subunit ribosomal RNA", at positions 355 to 1375 of the family's 1533-position model. The record is from RNAcentral.